Molecule: long non-coding RNA, 566 nt
Organism: Anas platyrhynchos (mallard)
Lineage: Eukaryota; Metazoa; Chordata; Aves; Anseriformes; Anatidae
Source: RefSeq, a predicted model, not a curated record
AUUUCUCUUGCCCCUUUCGUGUUGGGAGAGACUCCUAUCAGUUUAAUAGAUGCAUUGGUCUAUUUCUGCAGACAUUUAGACACAUCAGAACUUGAGUCCUUUGAAGUUUCAGCAGAGUGUGUGCUUUGAUUGAAAGGUCCUGAUCCCCAGGUGCACAUGAAAACGUCCGCACUGUCCCCUGUGUGGAUGAAUGUUGAAUGUUGUGGAUGAUUCCAUCCUCAGAAAGAUCACACCACACCAGGAGCCACUGCCAGCAUCCACAAGGAAACAGCACAGCCUGGUUCCCAACCCUGAGGGUGUCUCUAGAGCAUCACUCCCGCAACCUGCUGCCUACACUUUGCUUUCUCUUCAUGGCUCAGCAGUGGGCAAAGCUACCUCACCACCAGGACUUCUACCAGUUUUGACCAGCUCAAAUGCACCAGGAAAGAGAAACUGGCCCAGAUUUAUGGGUCUGCUCCUCUUGUGGGCCUGGAGGAAGCUGGCUGAGUUUAUUACACUGCUUCUUUUCUGGACUGAGUUUAUUAUUGUAUUUUACCUGACAUGGAUCACUGCAAAUGCAGAGGUGG